This 430-nucleotide ribosomal RNA is filed under the name Babesia bigemina. RNAcentral describes it as "partial small subunit ribosomal RNA". It matches the Rfam family "Eukaryotic small subunit ribosomal RNA", at positions 486 to 984 of the family's 1831-position model. The record is from RNAcentral. Lineage: Eukaryota; Apicomplexa; Aconoidasida; Piroplasmida; Babesiidae.
CAGGGCUUUCGUCUUGUAAUUGGAAUGAUGGUGAUGUACAACCUCACCAGAGUACCAAUUGGAGGGCAAGUCUGGUGCCAGCAGCCGCGGUAAUUCCAGCUCCAAUAGCGUAUAUUAAACUUGUUGCAGUUAAAAAGCUCGUAGUUGUAUUUCGGCCUCGCGUUUUUUCCCUCUUUUUGGGUCUUUUCGCUGGCUUUUUUUUUACUUUGAGAAAAUUAGAGUGUUUCAAGCAGACUUUUGUCUUGAAUACUUCAGCAUGGAAUAAUAGAGUAGGACCUUGGUUCUAUUUUGUUGGUUUUGAGCCUUGGUAAUGGUUAAUAGGAACGGUUGGGGGCAUUCGUAUUUAACUGUCAGAGGUGAAAUUCUUAGAUUUGUUAAAGACGAACCACUGCGAAAGCAUUUGCCAAGGACGUUUUCAUUAAUCAAGAAC